UAUUGGUCAAUGGACGCAAGUCUGAACCAGCCAUGCCGCGUGAAGGAUUAAGGUCCUCUGGAUUGUAAACUUCUUUUAUCUGGGACGAAAAAAGGCGAUUCUUCGUCACUUGACGGUACCAGAUGAAUAAGCACCGGCUAACUCCGUGCCAGCAGCCGCGGUAAUACGGAGGGUGCAAGCGUUAUCCGGAUUCACUGGGUUUAAAGGGUGCGUAGGCGGGCAGGUAAGUCAGUGGUGAAAUCCUGGAGCUCAACUCCAGAACUGCCAUUGAUACUAUCUGUCUUGAAUAUUGUGGAGGUAAGCGGAAUAUGUCAUGUAGCGGUGAAAUGCUUAGAUAUGACAUAGAACACCUAUUGCGAAGGCAGCUUACUACGCAUAUAUGACGCUGAGGCACGAAG
RNAcentral lists this ribosomal RNA (398 nucleotides) under uncultured bacterium. RNAcentral's name for it is "bacterial SSU rRNA". It matches the Rfam family "Bacterial small subunit ribosomal RNA", at positions 362 to 758 of the family's 1533-position model. The record is from RNAcentral.